GGGGUUGUGGCUCAGCAGUAGGGUGCUCACCUUGCACGUGUGAGACCCUGGGUUCAAUCCUCAGCACCA
RNAcentral lists this transfer RNA (69 nucleotides) under Ictidomys tridecemlineatus (thirteen-lined ground squirrel). RNAcentral's name for it is "Spermophilus tridecemlineatus (thirteen-lined ground squirrel) tRNA". It matches the Rfam family "tRNA". From Rfam's summary of the family: Transfer RNA (tRNA) molecules are approximately 80 nucleotides in length. Their secondary structure includes four short double-helical elements and three loops (D, anti-codon, and T loops). Further hydrogen bonds mediate the characteristic L-shaped molecular structure. tRNAs have two regions of fundamental functional importance: the anti-codon, which is responsible for specific mRNA codon recognition, and the 3' end, to which the tRNAs corresponding amino acid is attached (by aminoacyl-tRNA synthetases). tRNAs cope with the degeneracy of the genetic code in two manners: having more than one tRNA (with a specific anti-codon) for a particular amino acid; and 'wobble' base-pairing, i.e. permitting non-standard base-pairing at the 3rd anti-codon position. The record is from Rfam by way of RNAcentral. Lineage: Eukaryota; Metazoa; Chordata; Mammalia; Rodentia; Sciuridae.